CGUUGGGAUAUUGGACAAUGGGCGGAAGCCUGAUCCAGCAACGCCGCGUGAGGGAUGACUGCCUUCGGGUUGUAAACCUCUUUCAGCGGGGACGAAGCACCGCUUGAUGGUGGUGACGGUACCCGCAGAAGAAGCACCGGCCAACUACGUGCCAGCAGCCGCGGUAAUACGUAGGGUGCGAGCGUUGUCCGGAAUUAUUGGGCGUAAAGGGCUCGUAGGCGGUUUGUCGCGUCGGGGGUGAAAUCCACCAGCUUAACUGGUGGUCUGCGUUCGAUACGGGCAGACUAGAGGUAUGCAGGGGAGAACGGAAUUCCUGGUGUAGCGGUGAAAUGCGCAGAUAUCAGGAGGAACACCGGUGGCGAAGGCGGUUCUCUGGGCAUUACCUGACGCUGACGAGCGAAAGUGUGGGGAGCGAACA
This 418-nucleotide ribosomal RNA is filed under the name uncultured actinomycete. Its description in RNAcentral is "bacterial SSU rRNA". It matches the Rfam family "Bacterial small subunit ribosomal RNA", at positions 354 to 774 of the family's 1533-position model. Lineage: Bacteria; Bacillati; Actinomycetota; Actinomycetes; Actinomycetales. The record is from RNAcentral.